RNAcentral lists this ribosomal RNA (497 nucleotides) under uncultured bacterium. RNAcentral describes it as "partial 16S ribosomal RNA". It matches the Rfam family "Bacterial small subunit ribosomal RNA", at positions 28 to 507 of the family's 1533-position model. The record is from RNAcentral.
GAUGAACGCUGGCGGCGUGCCUAAUACAUGCAAGUCGAGCGAACAGACGAGGAGCUUGCUCCUCUGACGUUAGCGGCGGACGGGUGAGUAACACGUGGAUAACCUACCUAUAAGACUGGGAUAACUUCGGGAAACCGGAGCUAAUACCGGAUAAUAUAUUGAACCGCAUGGUUCAAUAGUGAAAGACGGUUUUGCCGUCACUUAUAGAUGGAUCCGCGCCGCAUUAGCUAGUUGGUAAGGUAACGGCUUACCAAGGCAACGAUGCGCAGCCGACCUGAGAGGGUGAUCGGCCACACUGGAACUGAGACACGGUCCAGACUCCUACGGGAGGCAGCAGUAGGGAAUCUUCCGCAAUGGGCGAAAGCUUGACGGAGCAACGCCGCGUGAGUGAUGAAGGUCUUCGGAUCGUAAAACUCUGUUAUUAGGGAAGAACAAAUGUGUAAGUAACUAUGCACGUCUUGACGGUACCUAAUCAGAAAGCCACGGCUAACUACGUG